This is a non-coding RNA of Phascolarctos cinereus (koala), 568 nucleotides long. Lineage: Eukaryota; Metazoa; Chordata; Mammalia; Diprotodontia; Phascolarctidae. The record is from RefSeq and is a predicted model, not a curated record.
AAGGAAAUCAGGAUGGCACAUUGGGAUAACAAACAUAUGACAGGGAGGGGCAAAGAGAGGAGAAGAAAGUGGAAGAGGAUAUGAUGAAGGGCAAUACAUAAUUAACAGUUGUAACCAUGAACGUGAAUGGAAAACUCAUGCAUAAAACAGAAGAGGACAAAAAAAGUGGAUUAGAAAUCAGAAUCCAGCAAUAUGUUAUUCACAAGAAACACACUUAAAUGUUUACAUAGAGUUAACGUUGGCUAAUUUAGCACAAAGCAGGAGAAAACGGACAAAAGCUCCCUUCCUGUACAUCAGAAGAAAUGAGACAUGCUGGGGGCAGCUAAACAAACAUGAAUCUCUGACCUUCUCCUUUAACUAGUGCUCCAGCUCCGUGAGCUCAUUAAGAGGAAAUCUGUUAGCAUUCACUGCAUGUUGGCAGAUGACGAGUGCAGAGCACAUGCUGUCAUCUCAACAGGAGAUCAAGAAAACCCAGUUCCUACAUGACCCAUCAUUGCUAAAUAGAAAAUUCCCAUAGUUACUUGUGUUAUGUAAAACUGCUUGAUGUACAUUAAAAGGAAACUUUUGA